CCUACGGGAGGCAGCAGUAGGGAAUUUUCGGCAAUGGGGGGAACCCUGACCGAGCAACGCCGCGUGAACGAAGAAGUUAUUCGUAAUGUAAAGUUCUUUUAACAGGGAAGAAAGUGACGGUACCUUAGGAAUAAGCCUCGGCUAACUACGUGCCAGCAGCCGCGGUAAUACGUAGGAGGCGAGCGUUAUCCGGAAUGACUGGGCGUAAAGGGUGCGUAGGUGGUUUGGCAAGUUAGUAGCGUAACUCCAAGGCUCAACCUUGGAACUACUACUAAAACUGUUGGACUUGAGUGCAGGAGGGGCAACCGGAAUUCCUAGUGUAGCGGUGGAAUGCGUAGAUAUUAGGAGGAACACCAGUGGCGAAGGCGGGUUGCUAGACUGUAACUGACACUGAGGCACGAAAGCGUGGGGAGCAAACAGGAUUAGAUACCCGUGUAGUC
RNAcentral lists this ribosomal RNA (440 nucleotides) under uncultured bacterium. RNAcentral's name for it is "partial 16S ribosomal RNA". It matches the Rfam family "Bacterial small subunit ribosomal RNA", at positions 338 to 795 of the family's 1533-position model. The record is from RNAcentral.